This is a long non-coding RNA of Solanum dulcamara, 1046 nucleotides long. RefSeq lists it as uncharacterized. The transcript is spliced from 3 exons. The record is from RefSeq and is a predicted model, not a curated record. NCBI's taxonomy places the organism in Eukaryota, Viridiplantae, Streptophyta, Magnoliopsida, Solanales, Solanaceae.
AAAAACUUGGCUAUUUGGCCCACGUUUGAAGAGCCCAUCAUAUGAGUGAGUUUUGCCCCACUUUGGAAGAGCGCGUCAUAUGAGUCAAAUAAUCUGAGAGUUGGGAUUCGGGGGAAAAAAGGAAGGAAAGCAAUCGAAGGGGGAGGCGGCGUCGGAGGUGGAGACUAGAAGGAAGAGAGAGCAAUGAAAUCGCCGAGAUGGGGAUAUGUUAGAAUAAUAUCAGGGACUAUUUUUGGAGGCAUUCUUGGUUUCUAUCUUAUGCAUCGCGCUGAACUCAAGUACAAGGAAAUGUGGAACGAGAGAUUGAAGAAGUACGAGGAGGAGCUCAAAAUGAAGCAAAGUAUGGAGACGCAUGCUCCCACUGAGUUGUCAGGAGACCCUCUUACGAGAUAGAAGUGACAGGUGCAGAUGGAAUUCUGUGUUAAUUCUUCAAAGGCGUGAUCCGGGUCUCAACCUCAACUGCUGUUUCAUCUGUCCAAAGAGGUACACAAGGAAAAAGCAGAGAUAUGGUUGCUUUUAUCAUGUGAAGAGAUGAUCAUAGAGAAAAAAAAACCACAUGAAUGUCGUUUUGUGAAUUAUAUUAUUUAUAAGGCAGAUCUUUGGAGAGGAAAAUACUGUCACCUUAUUUCACAGCUCCACCCCAAUUUCCCAAGUCAACCUUUCCCACUGCAGCUCCUCUUUUUUUGCCCGUGGAUUGGCUUAAAUUUAAGUGAUAAGUGAAGUUUUGGCUUUUUUGCUUUUGGUAAAUAUUGAUUCAAUUUUUUUAUGACUUUCCUCCCUGAUUGGAAAUAGGGAAAAUUAGACACAACGUGCACAACCAUUGAGGGUAUCAGAGAAGAAGAAAAGCAACACGGUUGAAAAAAAAAAGUGGCCGAAAUGCCUUUUUUGAUAAUUGGAUUAUUUUAGGUGAACAGUGUUGAUCCAAUAGAAAUUGUCCAUUUUUUUCUUUUUUUACUUUACUUUCUGUUGACAUGGGCCUUAGAUAAGUUUCUAUGGCUAGACUGGACCGUUCUUUUUCAGCAGACGGGCAUUUUAAACAAGUACUC